Molecule: ribosomal RNA, 253 nt
Filed under: uncultured bacterium
Lineage: Bacteria
Description: partial 16S ribosomal RNA
Rfam family: Bacterial small subunit ribosomal RNA
Source: RNAcentral
UACAGAGACUGCAAGCGUUAUUCGGAUUCACUGGGCGUAAAGGGGGCGCAGGCGGGUGUGGGGGGCAGGUGGGAAAGCCCGGGGCUUAACCCCGGAAUUGCGCCUGAAACUACAUGACUAGAGCAUUGGAGAGGGUAGCGGAAUUCACGGUGUAGCAGUGAAAUGCGUAGAUAUCGUGAGGAACACCAGAGGCGAAGGCGGCUACCUGGACAAUUGCUGACGCUCAGGCACGAAAGCGUGGGGAGCAAAAGGG